GGGGCUGUAGCUCAGUGGAAGAAUGCCCACUUCGCAUGUGUGAGGCACUGGGUUCGAUCCUCAGCACCACA
RNAcentral lists this transfer RNA (71 nucleotides) under Marmota monax (woodchuck). Its description in RNAcentral is "tRNA.Ala". The record is from RNAcentral. Lineage: Eukaryota; Metazoa; Chordata; Mammalia; Rodentia; Sciuridae.